AAUCCCGACACGGGGAGGUAGUGACAAUAAAUAACAAUAUAGGGCUCUUUCGGGUCUUAUAAUUGGAAUGAGUACAAUUUAAAUCCCUUAACGAGGAACAAUUGGAGGGCAAGUCUGGUGCCAGCAGCCGCGGUAAUUCCAGCUCCAAUAGCGUAUAUUAAAGUUGUUGCAGUUAAAAAGCUCGUAGUUGAACUUCAGGCCUGGCUGGGCGGUCCGCCUAACGGUGUGUACUGUUUGGCUGGGUCUUACUUCUUGGUGAGCCGGUGUGCCCUUUAUUGGCGUGCAUCGGGGAACCAGGACUUUUACCUUGAGAAAAUUAGAGUGUUCAAAGCAGGCUAUUGCCUGAAUACAUUAGCAUGGAAUAAUAAAAUAGGACGUGCGGUUCUAUUUUGUUGGUUUCUAGAGUCGCCGUAAUGAUUAAUAGGGAUAGUUGGGGGCAUUGGUAUUGAGUCGCUAGAGGUGAAAUUCUUGGAUUGACUCAAGACCGACUACUGCGAAAGCAUUUGCCAAGGAUGUUUUCAUUAAUCAAGAACGAAGGUUAGGGGAUCGAAAACGAUCAGAUACCGUUGUAGUCUUAACAGUAAACUAUGCCGACUAGGGAUCGGGCAACCUCAAUAUUGAUGUGUUGCUCGGCACCU
This 638-nucleotide ribosomal RNA is filed under the name uncultured fungus. RNAcentral describes it as "SSU rRNA". It matches the Rfam family "Eukaryotic small subunit ribosomal RNA", at positions 447 to 1088 of the family's 1831-position model. The record is from RNAcentral. Lineage: Eukaryota; Fungi.